CUGACUUAAGCUGUUUUAGGCACAUCUUGUAUCCCUCUUGCCUCAACUCUGGAAUUGGUUACCACUACUUCUGAACUGGGUGGCAGCUACAGACAGAGGUGGUAAGGGAGUAAUUGCUUAGGAUUGGACUGAGCUGAAGAAUGUUUAGCCUGGCGGUACUAGUGCAACUGGAAGAACAGAUGAACCAUAGUUUGCAACACAAAGCCAAGUCAACCAACAGAAG
Molecule: long non-coding RNA, 223 nt
Filed under: Homo sapiens (human)
Lineage: Eukaryota; Metazoa; Chordata; Mammalia; Primates; Hominidae
Description: PREDICTED lncRNA (TCONS_00206910)
Source: RNAcentral